AUGCAAGACGAGUAUGAUGCUUUGCAGGCCAACCGCACUUGGACUCUUGUGCCUCGACCUCGCGGUGCUAACAUCGUCACCGGCAAAUGGGUAUUUCGGCAUAAACUCAAACCAGAUGGCUCCUUGGAUCGCUACAUAGCACGUUGGGUUGUUCGAGGAUUCACACAACGUGCUGGCAUAGACUUUGGUGAGACUUUUAGUCCUGUUGUUAAACCUGCCACGGUUCGCAUGGUCUUGCAUCUUGCCGCCUCUCGCCACUGGCCGGUACAUCAGUUGGACGUAUCCAAUGCUUUUCUUCAUGGACUUCUACAUGAGCGUGUCUACUGUGCUCAACCUACGGGGUUCAUUGGUGCCGCCAACCCUGAGCAUGUUUGCCUGCUGUCCAAAUCACUUUAUGGGCUCAAACGGCUCCUCGCGCUUGGUACACGCGCA
Molecule: ribosomal RNA, 432 nt
Filed under: Triticum aestivum (bread wheat)
Lineage: Eukaryota; Viridiplantae; Streptophyta; Magnoliopsida; Poales; Poaceae
Description: partial small subunit ribosomal RNA
Source: RNAcentral